UGGGGAAUAUUGGACAAUGGGCGCAAGCCUGAUCCAGCAAUGCCGCGUGGGUGAAGAAGGUCUUCGGAUUGUAAAUCCCUUUCGGCGGGGACGAUGAUGACGGUACCCGCAGAAGAAGCCCCGGCUAACUUCGUGCCCGCAGCCGCGGUAAUACGAAGGGGGCUAGCGCUGCUCGGAAUGACUGGGCGUAAAGGGCGCGUAGGCGGUUCGUACAGUUGGAUGUGAAAUUCCUAGGCUUAACCUGGGGGCUGCAUUCAAUACGUGCGGGCUAGAAUGUGGAAGAGGGUUGUGGAAUUCCCAGUGUAGAGGUGAAAUUCGUAGAUAUUGGGAAGAACGCCGGUGGCGAAGGCGGCAACCUGGUCCAUAAUUGACGCUGAGGCGCGAAAGCGUGGGGAGCAAAC
RNAcentral lists this ribosomal RNA (401 nucleotides) under uncultured bacterium. RNAcentral's name for it is "bacterial SSU rRNA". It matches the Rfam family "Bacterial small subunit ribosomal RNA", at positions 355 to 773 of the family's 1533-position model. The record is from RNAcentral.